Aquila chrysaetos chrysaetos is the source of this 189-nucleotide long non-coding RNA. RefSeq lists it as uncharacterized. The transcript is spliced from 3 exons. The record is from RefSeq and is a predicted model, not a curated record. NCBI's taxonomy places the organism in Eukaryota, Metazoa, Chordata, Aves, Accipitriformes, Accipitridae.
UAGCCGGACGUUUGGCGUUUUGGAAACAGGCUCUGCCGAGAACAGGAGUGAUGAGAUGUUGCGUCUCUGGGAAAGCACGGAUCUGCAGGGCUCUUGUGCCUGUGAAUGGGCUGCACGGGGACGGUGAAGACCAGGAACAGCUUUCAGGGCUGGCACCUUCCUUGUGGGAGGCCGAGGAGCGGGACGAGU